CUAAAGGCUUUUAUAAAAGCCUUCUCUUUCAAAGCAAAGAGUUUUAU
Molecule: non-coding RNA, 47 nt
Organism: Pygoscelis adeliae (Adelie penguin)
Lineage: Eukaryota; Metazoa; Chordata; Aves; Sphenisciformes; Spheniscidae
Source: Rfam